GCGCCCGUAGCUCAGCGGAUAGAGCGCUGCCCUGCGGAGGCAGAGGUCGGACGUUCGAGUCGUCCCGGGCGCA
RNAcentral lists this transfer RNA (73 nucleotides) under Thermoleophilia bacterium. Its description in RNAcentral is "tRNA-Arg". It matches the Rfam family "tRNA". Rfam says of the family: Transfer RNA (tRNA) molecules are approximately 80 nucleotides in length. Their secondary structure includes four short double-helical elements and three loops (D, anti-codon, and T loops). The record is from RNAcentral. Lineage: Bacteria; Bacillati; Actinomycetota; Thermoleophilia. RNAcentral also lists the same sequence under 2 other names.